Myripristis murdjan (pinecone soldierfish) is the source of this 80-nucleotide long non-coding RNA. RefSeq lists it as uncharacterized. NCBI's taxonomy places the organism in Eukaryota, Metazoa, Chordata, Actinopteri, Holocentriformes, Holocentridae. The record is from RefSeq and is a predicted model, not a curated record. The transcript is spliced from 3 exons.
UUAGUGUAGCUGGAUAGGUCUGAGCAAUUCAAGGAAAACUGAGCUUGCUUCGUGAUACAGGCCUCAGCUUAGCCAACACU